GAGUUUUUUUUACUUUUGGACGUCUUCAUAUUUCUACAGACGGUCACCACGAGUCUCGUGAAUGUAUUCCGCCAUGGGUACCUUCGUGGUAUUAAUUGCACUGAUGACGUCGACUGUUACUGUCUGCAGUGUAAGCCGCCGCUUCGUUAACGUGCAAGACUUCAAAGAAUGCGCAAAAGAUAACCUUCAUCCACACGCGUACAAGUACAUUGAAAGCGUUUUCACCCGUGGCCAGACUCACGACGAGAAUAUUGAUGCUUUCAAGACAUUUCGUCUACGGCCAAGGCAUUUGCGAGAUGUGAGUCAUAUUGAUACAAGUACAACUGUUCAAGGACAAGCAGUAGAUAUCCCAAUAGGCAUUUCUCCGUCUGCUUUUCAUAAAUGGUUCCACCCAGAAGGAGUGAUAGG
Molecule: long non-coding RNA, 408 nt
Organism: Lingula anatina
Lineage: Eukaryota; Metazoa; Brachiopoda; Lingulata; Lingulida; Lingulidae
Source: RefSeq, a predicted model, not a curated record